GUUUGGGAUUAAUAUGUACGGUCAGAGUGCGCAGGCUGCUGGAGAGGAGCGAGCGCCCCUUGAACUUGGCGAGCGCCUGGACCAGCCGUGGUAACAGAUGGAGGACGGCGGUCCCUGCAAAUGUACAGUAUGUUUCUCACCACGGCGCCCCCCUGCGACGUGGAAGCACACCCCUGCCUCUCAAACACCAGCUGCGCAGGGAAGAGGCCGUAUCGGAGGACUGUGAUUGGAUUGGAGGAGCCGGCCAUGUUGCCUGUCAGUGUCUCAGGAUGUGUCCAGCGGCCAAUCGGCAGCCGCCCGGUCGGCUUACCACAGCCACGGCGGAGCUUUGAAGAUAGUGCUACUGGGACAGAACGACGUGGGCAAGUCGUCGCUAGCCUUAUCUCUGGCCGGGCAAUCGGACAGAUCCCUCUCUAUAGACUCUGAGAUGCGAGCAUGUGGUAAAGACCUGGAUGGCGAUUGAUGGAUUUGGAUUUUUAAAUCUGUCUGAAGGGUUACUUUAGAAAUGCUUCAUUCACACACUGCGUUAGCUAAGCUUAACAAUUACUUGUCAAAAGUCAGGUGAACAGAUUGAUACCACUCUGAUGUCUUCAGGCUAGACAUGAGCCUGGAGGUAGCAAUUAGCUAGCCUAGCUUAGCAUAAAACACAAAACAGAUAUUCUACAGAGGUUAUAAAAUGGCUUCUGGUUGCAGAGCCGGGGUAAGCUGAUUGCGCCCUUUUUCCAGUCUUCAUGCUAAGCUAAUACAACAAGCUUCCCUUUGGGUCCCCCUCAUGCAUAAAGCUGACUUGGCCGUGACUCACGACAUACAGGAUUCAUUACUGCCCAUGUUGUACACUUGGACUCAUGCAUCAUAAAUGGAUAGAAAAACUACUUCCUUCCAAGAAGCUUGUGCACUAUUUCCAUCAAGCCAAUUUUUAACAAAGCUGUAAAUUGUUCUAUAAGCUACACGUCAAAAAUUGUAAAGUGUAAAACAUAACAUUUUACUAAAAAUAAACUAAUCAACACCUAUUUAAUUACUGCUUUUACAACAGUUUUCAGCAGAUGCUCUAGCAGCCCCGUGAGUGGGUUAACACCUCACUAAUCAAUACGUGUCCUCACAAAGUAAUUACUGGUGAAAUAUAGUGAGACCCUAUUAACACCAAGGCAUUUGCUGUGCGGUAUCGAUUUCAAGCUGUUAUGGGCUUCUUUAUAUUUUAAAAGCUUCACUGCAGUUAUAGGUAGUUUAUUACAUUUAUCAAGUGAAUUAAAUGGUCAACAAGCAUCUUUAAGGUUUUACUUUUUCUUUGCAACUUACAAUGCUAAUGUGUGCCUUUUGUACGUCUAAAUGGUUGCUCUUCCUGUCACCAAAUUCCAUGAAAAGCCACGACUAAUGACAUUUGUUGAUCCUAUUCACCAGCAUUGUGUGUGUAAACAUAAGAUAAAACAUGCUGAGCCACGCCAUUAACAGCUGUUCAUUAAUAAACGCGCAGAUACUGUAGAUGAUCCCUGAAAACACAAUAUUUCACUAGAUGUAUGUUAAUGUAGUUGAGCAGCUAAAACUCAAGGUGUCUCAGACUUACUGAUAAUCAUCAUCAAGCCGUACUGAGGGUCUCAACUGCUUCCUCCCUCAAGCAAACUGUGGCUCAGCUGUGUGAGAGGAAGCGCUGCCAGGUCUCUGGCAGCAAGAAGUAGGCAAGAGAAGCCAUGUCCAGAAGAACCGUUCAUGUUCUUCAAUAUUCUAUUCAUGUUCAGGAGAACCCAUUGAAG
This is a long non-coding RNA of Gasterosteus aculeatus aculeatus (three-spined stickleback), 1748 nucleotides long. The record is from Ensembl. Lineage: Eukaryota; Metazoa; Chordata; Actinopteri; Perciformes; Gasterosteidae.